AUUGAACGCUAGCGGCAUGCUUUACACAUGCAAGUCGAACGAGUGGCGGACGGGUGAGUAAUAUAUCGGAACGUGCCCAGUAGCGGGGGAUAACUACUCGAAAGAGUGGCUAAUCCCGCAUACUAUUGGAUCCGCCGAUAUCGGAUUAGCUAGUAGGUGGGGUAAUGGCUCAACUAGUCGACGCUCCCUAGCUGGUCUGCGAGGAUGAUCAGCCACACUGGGACUGAGACACGGCCCAGACUCCUACGGUAGGCAGAAGUGGGGAAUAUUGCACAAUGGGCGCAAGCCUGAUGCAGCCAUGCCGCGUGUAUGAAGAAGGCCCUAGGGUUGUAAAGUACUUUCAGUAGGGAGGCGUUACCGACAGAAGAAGCACCGGCUAACUCCGUGCCAGCAGCCGCGGUAAUAC
This 406-nucleotide ribosomal RNA is filed under the name uncultured bacterium. Its description in RNAcentral is "partial 16S ribosomal RNA". It matches the Rfam family "Bacterial small subunit ribosomal RNA", at positions 30 to 526 of the family's 1533-position model. The record is from RNAcentral.